GAUGUGCCGCAAGGUGCAUGGCAGACGGGUGAGUAACGCGUGGGGAACCUACCUCUUUGUGGGGAAUAACGCUCCGAAAGGAGUGGUAAUACCGCAUGAGACCAUCGGCUGGGAUGCUGGUGGUGAAAGCUGGGGAUCGAAAGACCUAGCGCGAGGAGAGGGUCCUGCGUCUGAUUAGCUAGUUGGUGGGGUAAUGGCCUACCAAGGCGAUGAUCAGUAGCCGGCCUGAGAGGGUGAUCGGCCACACUGGAACUGAGACACGGUCCAGACUCCUACGGGAGGCAGCAGUGGGGAAUUUUGCGCAAUGGGCGAAAGCCUGACGCAGCAACGCCGCGUGGGUGAUGAAGGUCUUCGGAUCGUAAAACCCUGUCGUCAGGGACGAAGGUUGCAUGCCUAACAGGUGUGUAAUUUGACGGUACCUGGAGAGGAAGCCCCGGCUAACUCUGUGCCAGCAGCCGCGGUAAUACAGAGGGGGCAAGCGUUAUUCGGAAUUAUUGGGCGUAAGGGGCGCGUAGGCGGUGUUUUAAGUGAGAUGUGUAAUCCCCGAGCUUAACUUGGGAACUGCAUCUCAGACUGGGACGCUAGAGUGCUGGAGAGGGUGGUAGAAUUCCACGUGUAGCGGUGAAAUGCGUAGAGAUGUGGAGGAAUACCAGUGGCGAAGGCGGCCACCUGGACAGUAACUGACGCUGAGGCGCGAAAGUGUGGGGAGCAAACAGGAUUAGAUACCCUGGUAGUCC
RNAcentral lists this ribosomal RNA (737 nucleotides) under uncultured bacterium. RNAcentral describes it as "bacterial SSU rRNA". It matches the Rfam family "Bacterial small subunit ribosomal RNA", at positions 77 to 796 of the family's 1533-position model. The record is from RNAcentral.